ACGCUGGCGGCACGCCUAACACAUGCAAGUCGAACGAAGUAGCAAUACUUAGUGGCAGACGGGUGAGUAACAUGUAGGUAUCUGCCCUUUGGCCUGGAAUAACACGAGGAAACUUGUGCUAAUACCGGAUAAGUCUUUACGGAGAAAGCUUUAUGCACCAUUGGAUGAGCCUGCACUUGAUUAGUUUGUUGGUGGGGUAAUGGCCUACCAAGACUGUGAUCAAUAGCUGAUUUGAGAGGAUGAUCAGCCACAUUGGGACUGAGACACGGCCCAAACUCCUACGGGAGGCAGCAGUGGGGAAUCUUGCACAAUGGAGGAAACUCUGAUGCAGCGAUGCCGCGUGAGUGAAGAAGGCCCUUGGGUUGUAAAGCUCUUUCGUCGGGGAAGAAAAUGACUGUACCCGAAUAAGAAGGUCCGGCUAACUUCGUGCCAGCAGCCGCGGUAAUACGAAGGGACCUAGCGUAGUUCGGAAUUACUGGGCUUAAAGAGUUCGUAGGUGGUUGAAAAAGUUGGUGGUGAAAUCCCAGAGCUUAACUCUGGAACUGCCAUCAAAACUUUUCAGCUAGAGUAUGAUAGAGGAAAGCAGAAUUUCUAGUGUAGAGGUGAAAUUCGUAGAUAUUAGAAAGAAUACCAAUUGCGAAGGCAGCUUUCUGGAUCAUUACUGACACUGAGGAACGAAAGCAUGGGUAGCGAAGAGGAUUAGAUACCCUCGUAGUCCAUGCCGUAAACGAUGUGUGUUAGACGUUGGAAACUCGUUUUCAGUGUCGCAGCGAAAGCGAUAAACACACCGCCUGGGGAGUACG
Molecule: ribosomal RNA, 803 nt
Filed under: uncultured Pelagibacteraceae bacterium
Lineage: Bacteria; Pseudomonadati; Pseudomonadota; Alphaproteobacteria; Candidatus Pelagibacterales; Candidatus Pelagibacteraceae
Description: bacterial SSU rRNA
Rfam family: Bacterial small subunit ribosomal RNA
Source: RNAcentral